This 505-nucleotide ribosomal RNA is filed under the name uncultured bacterium. RNAcentral describes it as "partial 16S ribosomal RNA". It matches the Rfam family "Bacterial small subunit ribosomal RNA", at positions 28 to 507 of the family's 1533-position model. The record is from RNAcentral.
GACGAACGCUGGCGGCGUGCCUAAUACAUGCAAGUCGAACGCACAGUUUAUACCGUAGCUUGCUACACCAUAGACUGUGAGUUGCGAACGGGUGAGUAACGCGUAGGUAACCUGCCUGGUAGCGGGGGAUAACUAUUUGAAACGUUAGCUAAUACCGCAUAAUAUUGAUUAUUGCAUGAUAAUUGAUUGAAAGAUGCUAUUGCAUCACUACCAGAUGGCCCUGCGUUGUAUUAGCUAGUAGGUGAGGUAACGGCUCACCUAGGCGACGAUACAUAGCCGACCUGAGAGGGUGAUCGGCCACACUGGGACUGAGACACGGCCCAGACUCCUACGGGAGGCAGCAGUAGGGAAUCUUCGGCAAUGGACGAAAGUCUGACCGAGCAACGCCGCGUGAGUGAAGAAGGUUUUCGGAUCGUAAAGCUCUGUUGUAAGAGAAGAACGGGUGUGAGAGUGGAAAGUUCACACUGUGACGGUAUCUUACCAGAAAGGGACGGCUAACUACGUG